UCUGGUCCUUGUGUGCCCGCCGCCGCGGUCCUACGGAGGCUGCACGCGUUCUCCGGAUUUAUUGGGUUUAAAGGGAGCGCAGACGGGUCGUUAAGUCAGCUGUGAAAGUUUGGGGCUCAACCUUAAAAUUGCAGUUGAUACUGGCGUCCUUGAGUGCGGUUGAGGUGUGCGGAAUUCGUGGUGUAGCGGUGAAAUGCUUAGAUAUCACGAAGAACUCCGAUUGCGAAGGCAGCACACUAAGCCGUAACUGACGUUCAUGCUCGAAAGUGUGGGUAUCAAACAGG
RNAcentral lists this ribosomal RNA (284 nucleotides) under Phocaeicola plebeius DSM 17135. RNAcentral describes it as "partial 16S ribosomal RNA". It matches the Rfam family "Bacterial small subunit ribosomal RNA", at positions 493 to 776 of the family's 1533-position model. Lineage: Bacteria; Pseudomonadati; Bacteroidota; Bacteroidia; Bacteroidales; Bacteroidaceae. The record is from RNAcentral.